AUGGGCUCGGCUCGGUUCGGUGGGAAGAGGAAGGCCUGGCGCUGGCUUUGCGGUCCAGGAGGCUGGUUGGCGGAUCUGGGCCAUGCGACGAUAAGUCAACGCGGGCGCGGCUCCGUUGUUCUCGCAUGCGGAAGCAGGAAGGCCGGCGAGGGGCUUGGGCGCGAGGACUUGGGGCUCCGGCGAAAUGGGAAGUCCGGCAACGACGGGGAGGGUCGAGAUCCAACGGAUCCGAUGCGAAGGAGGUCGAGGAGGGCUGAGGCGAAGCACUGGCAUUCUCCUCUGCUCGAAACAGAGCAAGCAGCAACCGGCGAAGCAAGCUUCAUGCACAAGGGAGGAGCAGGCGGGGGGCCGGCAGGCACGGGACGCGGCGGGUCGACGUGGUUCACCGGGACGACAGCAGCAGGCGGCGGACUUGACGCGGAGGCUGAAGAUGGCGGGGUUGAGGAGGAGCGGAGGCGGCCUGCUCCGGGUGGCGGCUUGCGAGGACUAGGCGCGGGCAUCGUCAGGGACGCAGGGUCGCCGGGUAGCUGGGAAUGA
Molecule: ribosomal RNA, 537 nt
Filed under: Triticum aestivum (bread wheat)
Lineage: Eukaryota; Viridiplantae; Streptophyta; Magnoliopsida; Poales; Poaceae
Description: partial small subunit ribosomal RNA
Source: RNAcentral